Triticum urartu is the source of this 117-nucleotide non-coding RNA. The record is from Rfam. NCBI's taxonomy places the organism in Eukaryota, Viridiplantae, Streptophyta, Magnoliopsida, Poales, Poaceae.
UCUAGUGUCCUAGGCGUAGAGGAACCACACCAAUCCAUCCCAAAUUUGGUGGUUAAACUCUACUGCGGUGACGAUACUAUAGGGGAGGUCCUGCGGCAAAAUAGCUCGAUGCCAGAA